UCUCCGUAGGUGAACCUGCGGAGGGAUCAUUACAGAGUUCUCGCCCUCGCGGGUAGAUCUCCCACCCACUGUUAUCGUUACUGUGUUGCUUUGGCGGGCCGCCGGGCCCCGCUCGGCCGCCGGCUCCGGCUGGCGCGCGCCCGCCAGAGGCCCAGCAAACUCUGAAUGUCAGUGUCGUCUGAGUACUAUAUAAUAGUUAAAACUUUCAACAACGGAUCUCUUGGUUCUG
Molecule: unclassified non-coding RNA, 229 nt
Filed under: plant metagenome
Description: partial contains small subunit ribosomal RNA, internal transcribed spacer 1, and 5.8S ribosomal RNA
Source: RNAcentral